RNAcentral lists this long non-coding RNA (594 nucleotides) under Homo sapiens (human). RNAcentral's name for it is "HSALNT0247956". The record is from RNAcentral. Lineage: Eukaryota; Metazoa; Chordata; Mammalia; Primates; Hominidae.
GCAGAUCUCAUUCCUAAACCCAUGGUGUGCUAAGGAAGCACGCCAGUGUACCCGGAAACCAAACAGAGCCUUUGUAGACAGUGAGAGAAGAAAAAGGGUGGGGUGCCUGCUGGACUUUUGCAAGUCAAUAUUCAUUCAUUCAACAAAUGGUUGAGUGCCUACUAUGUGCUCAGGUAUCUCUUAGGCUUGAAUCAUUGCGACAUAUACAGGAAAAAGUGAAAUAGGACAGUAUACUCCAUGUACAAGUCCUUGAUUUUUCAAUAAAGUUUUUUUUGCUUGUUUGUUUUUUGUUUUUUUUUUUUUGAGACAGAGUCUUGCUCUGUCACCCAGACUGGAGGGCAGUGGCACGAUCUCGGCUCACUGCAACCUCCGCCUCCUGGGUUCAAGCGAUAUUCCUGCCUCACCCUCCCGAGAAGCUGGAAUUACAGGCAUGCGCCACCACACCCAGGUGAUAUUUUUGCAUUUAUUUUUUAGUAGAGACGGGGUUUCGCCGCGUUGGCCAGGCUGGUCUCCAACUCCUGACCGCAGGUGAUCUGCCCGCCUUGGCCUCCCAAAGGAGGCCCUUGGCCUGGGAUUACAGGCGUGAGCCACCGU